UAGGGAAUCUUCCACAAUGGGCGCAAGCCUGAUGGAGCAACGCCGCGUGUGUGAUGAAGGGUUUCGGCUCGUAAAACACUGUUAUAAGAGAAGAACGGCACUGAGAGUAACUGUUCAGUGUGUGACGGUAUCUUACCAGAAAGGAACGGCUAAAUACGUGCCAGCAGCCGCGGUAAUACGUAUGUUCCAAGCGUUAUCCGGAUUUAUUGGGCGUAAAGCGAGCGCAGACGGUUAUUUAAGUCUGAAGUGAAAGCCCUCAGCUCAACUGAGGAAUGGCUUUGGAAACUGGAUGACUUGAGUGCAGUAGAGGAAAGUGGAACUCCAUGUGUAGCGGUGAAAUGCGUAGAUAUAUGGAAGAACACCAGUGGCGAAGGCGGCUUUCUGGACUGUAACUGACGUUGAGGCUCGAAAGUGUGGGUAGCAAACAGG
RNAcentral lists this ribosomal RNA (429 nucleotides) under uncultured bacterium. RNAcentral's name for it is "bacterial SSU rRNA". It matches the Rfam family "Bacterial small subunit ribosomal RNA", at positions 355 to 776 of the family's 1533-position model. The record is from RNAcentral.